Molecule: ribosomal RNA, 516 nt
Filed under: uncultured bacterium
Lineage: Bacteria
Description: partial 16S ribosomal RNA
Rfam family: Bacterial small subunit ribosomal RNA
Source: RNAcentral
GAUGAACGCUGGCGGCGUGCCUAAUACAUGCAAGUCGAGCGAAUGGAUUAAGGGCUUGCUCUUAUGAAGUUAGCGGCGGACGGGUGAGUAACACGUGGGUAACCUGCCCAUAAGACUGGGAUAACUCCGGGAAACCGGGGCUAAUACCGGAUAACAUUUUGAACCGCAUGGUUCGAAAUUGAAAGGCGGCUUCGGCUGUCACUUAUGGAUGGACCCGCGUCGCAUAUAGCUAGUUGGUGAGGUAACGGCUUACCAAGGCAACGAUGCGUAGCCGACGUGAGAGGGUGAUCAGCCACACUGGGACUGAGACACGGCACAGACUCUUACGGGAGGCAGCAGUAGGGAAGCUUCCGCAAUGGACGAAAGUCUGACGGAGCAACGCCGCGUGAGUGAUGAAGGCUUUCGGGUCGUAAAACUCUGUUGUUAGGGAAGAACAAGUGCUAGUUGAAUAAGCUGGCACCUUGACGGUACCUAACCAGAAAGCCACGGCUAACUACGUGCCAGCCGCCGCGGUAA